RNAcentral lists this ribosomal RNA (253 nucleotides) under uncultured bacterium. RNAcentral describes it as "partial 16S ribosomal RNA". It matches the Rfam family "Bacterial small subunit ribosomal RNA", at positions 524 to 776 of the family's 1533-position model. The record is from RNAcentral.
UACGUAGGGGGCAAGCGUUGUCCGGAUUUAUUGGGCGUAAAGAGCGUGUGGGCGGCCAGGUAGGUCCGUUGUGAAAACUCGAGGCUCAACCUCGAGACGCCGAUGGAAACCAUCUGGCUAGAGUCCGGAAGAGGAGAGUGGAAUUCCCGGUGUAGCGGUGAAAUGCGCAGAUAUCGGGAAGAACACCCGUGGCUAAGGCGGCUCUCUAGUACGGUACUGACGCUGAGACGCGAAAGCGUGGGGAGCGAAUGGG